UUGCAAGGGAGCUCAUGUUAUGGGCUGAGAGUGGACUAUAAGCACCUGACCUUUUUACCUGAUCGGGAUAAUGCCCGCGUAGGAAGCGAGAUAA
Molecule: non-coding RNA, 94 nt
Filed under: human gut metagenome
Description: TPP riboswitch (THI element)
Rfam family: TPP riboswitch aptamer (THI element)
About the family: Vitamin B(1) in its active form thiamin pyrophosphate (TPP) is an essential coenzyme that is synthesised by coupling of pyrimidine and thiazole moieties in bacteria.
Source: RNAcentral